GAGUUUGAUCUUGGCUCAGAACGAACGCUGGCGGCAUGCCUAACACAUGCAAGUCGAACGGGAUCCGAGCUUCGGUUCGGUGAGAGUGGCGGACGGGUGAGUAACGCGUGGGAACCUGCCCAGUGGUGGGGGAUAACUGCGGAAACUGCAGCUAAUACCGCAUGAGCCCGAGAGGGGAAAGAUUUAUCGCCAUUGGAGGGGCCCGCGUUCGAUUAGGUAGUUGGUGAGGUAACGGCUCACCAAGCCGACGGAUCGAUAGCUGGUCUGAGAGGAUGAUCAGCCACACU
This 287-nucleotide ribosomal RNA is filed under the name uncultured Alphaproteobacteria bacterium. Its description in RNAcentral is "partial 16S ribosomal RNA". It matches the Rfam family "Bacterial small subunit ribosomal RNA", at positions 9 to 314 of the family's 1533-position model. The record is from RNAcentral. Lineage: Bacteria; Pseudomonadati; Pseudomonadota; Alphaproteobacteria.